This 424-nucleotide ribosomal RNA is filed under the name Osteocephalus taurinus group sp. ABGD cluster 12. RNAcentral describes it as "partial large subunit ribosomal RNA". It matches the Rfam family "Bacterial large subunit ribosomal RNA", at positions 1834 to 2439 of the family's 2925-position model. Lineage: Eukaryota; Metazoa; Chordata; Amphibia; Anura; Hylidae. The record is from RNAcentral.
CUUGAAUAAUUAUAAGAGGUCUAGCCUGCCCAGUGACUUUGUUCAACGGCCGCGGUACCCUAACCGUGCGAAGGUAGCGUAAUCACUUGUCUUUUAAAUGGGGACUUGUAUGAAUGGCAUCACGAGGGUUAUACUGUCUCCUUUUUCUAAUCAGUGAAACUAAUCUUCCCGUGAAGAAGCGGGAAUAAACAUAUAAGACGAGAAGACCCUAUGGAGCUUUAAACUCAAUAACAAAUACUAACCUUAUGUCAACCUUCAGAGUAUUAACCUUAAUUUUAGUAAUAUGAUUAUUAGUUUUAGGUUGGGGUGACCGCGGAGUAAAAAUUAACCUCCACAUUGAACGGGACCUGUCCCUGAGCCAAGAACUACAGCUCAAAGCACCAACAAAUUGACAUUAAUUGACCCAAUAUUUUGAUCAACGAAC